AAUGGAUUAGUGGGGUCUGCUUUGCCGAUCCUUGACGUGAUAAUACUUUUCUACGUCUCGGGUUUCUGCACUGUACCUCUGCUUCUAACCGUCUCAUUGACAACGAUGGUGUUCCGGUCACCGCCGAUUCAUCGGUGGGAGGCUCGACCCACAAAAACGACCUUGACCUCAAAUCGGGUGGGACUACCCGCUGAACUUAA
RNAcentral lists this unclassified non-coding RNA (200 nucleotides) under soil metagenome. RNAcentral's name for it is "partial contains internal transcribed spacer 2 and large subunit ribosomal RNA". The record is from RNAcentral.